This 433-nucleotide ribosomal RNA is filed under the name uncultured bacterium. RNAcentral describes it as "partial 16S ribosomal RNA". It matches the Rfam family "Bacterial small subunit ribosomal RNA", at positions 29 to 507 of the family's 1533-position model. The record is from RNAcentral.
AACGAACGCUGGCGGCAUGCCUAACACAUGCAAGUCGAACGAGACCUUCGGGUCUAGUGGCGCAUGGGUGCGUAACGCGUGGGAACCUGCCCUUAGGUUCGGAAUAACUCCCCGAAAGGGGUGCUAAUACCGGAUAAUGUCUUCGGACCAAAGAUUUAUCGCCUUUGGAUGGGCCCGCGUUGGAUUAGCUUGUUGGUAGGGUAAAAGCCUACCACGGCGACGAUCCAUAGCUGGUCUGAGAGGAUGAUCAGCCACACUGGGACUGGGACACGGCCCAGACUCCUACGGGAGGCAGCAGUGGGGAAUAUUGGACAAUGGGCGAAAGCCUGAACCAGCAAUGCCGCGUGAGUGAUGAAGGCCUUAGGGUUGUAAAGCUCUUUUACCCGGGAUGAUAAUGACAGUACCGGGAGAAUAAGCUCCGGCUAACUCCGUG